This 330-nucleotide ribosomal RNA is filed under the name uncultured eukaryote. Its description in RNAcentral is "partial 18S ribosomal RNA". It matches the Rfam family "Eukaryotic small subunit ribosomal RNA", at positions 1470 to 1796 of the family's 1831-position model. The record is from RNAcentral.
CCCUUAGAUGUUCGGGGCCGCACGCGCGCUACACUGAAGGAAUCAGCACGUCUUUCUCCUUGUCCGAAAGGACUGGGUAACCCGCUGAACCUCCUUCGUGCUAGGGAUUGGGGCUUGUAAUUCUUCCCCAUGAACGAGGAAUUCCCAGUAAGCGUGAGUCAUAAGCUCGCGUUGAUUACGUCCCUGCCCUUUGUACACACCGCCCGUCGCUACUACCGAUUGGAUGGUUUAGUGAGAUCCUCGGAUUGGUCCCGGCGCGGCCUCUGGUCGUGCCGGAGUGCCGAAAAGAAUGUCGAACUUGAUCAUCUAGAGGAAGUAAAAGUCGUAACA